This 81-nucleotide transfer RNA is filed under the name Babesia motasi. RNAcentral's name for it is "tRNA-Met". It matches the Rfam family "tRNA". From Rfam's summary of the family: Transfer RNA (tRNA) molecules are approximately 80 nucleotides in length. Lineage: Eukaryota; Apicomplexa; Aconoidasida; Piroplasmida; Babesiidae. The record is from RNAcentral.
GUAUCUAUCGCUUAGAGGUCAAUAGCGAUGAGCUCAUGACUCAUUACAUAAAUAUCAGUAGUUCGAAUCUACUUAGAUACA